CAGCAGCCGCGGGAAUACGUAGGGUGCAAGCGUUAAUCGGAAUUACUGGGCGUAAAGCGUGCGCAGGCGGUUCGUUAAGACAGAUGUGAAAUCCCCGGGCUUAACCUGGGAACUGCAUUUGUGACUGGCGAGCUAGAGUAUGGCAGAGGGGGGUAGAAUUCCACGUGUAGCAGUGAAAUGCGUAGAGGUGUGGAGGAAUACCGAUGGCGAAGGCAGCCCCCUGGGCCAAUACUGACGCUCAUGCACGAAAGCGUGGGGAGCAAACAGGAUUAGAUACCCGUGUAGUCCCUGUCUCUUAUAC
Molecule: ribosomal RNA, 301 nt
Filed under: uncultured bacterium
Lineage: Bacteria
Description: partial 16S ribosomal RNA
Rfam family: Bacterial small subunit ribosomal RNA
Source: RNAcentral